Prunus avium (sweet cherry) is the source of this 640-nucleotide non-coding RNA. Lineage: Eukaryota; Viridiplantae; Streptophyta; Magnoliopsida; Rosales; Rosaceae. The record is from RefSeq and is a predicted model, not a curated record.
CUCUCUCUCCCCGCAUCUUCUCCCUUUCUCCCCGCAUCUUCUCCCUUUCUCCUCCCCUCUGUUUCGACCGACACCGACAAAACCCCCCAGCCACUGUCACGUCGGCCACCCAGCCACCGGACCGGUCAAGUUUUGACUGGCGUCGCACCCCAAGCCAGCUCCGACCUCCUCCUACCUCUGCUGCUGCUGUUUUGCCGGAAAACCCCGGUUUUGAUCGGAUUUUUACUCGGUUUUCUAAUCCCUCGAUCUCUCUCCUCUGGCCCUCAAAUCCUUCGAUUGAGAAAACGAAACUUCGAUGCAGAAACUGAAACUGCGAUGCAGAAAACCGCAGAAACAGAGAUGAAGAAUCGGCUUUGAUCGUUGGUGGUCUUCGAUGAUGGUCGUGCGAAUGGGUUGGUGGUCUUCGAUGAUCGUUGGUGGUCUGGAAGUUUCUGGAGGUGAAGUUGAAAGGUCGCGCGAAUGGGUUCUGAUUCAAUUUCGGUUUUGGUUGAUGUUGUUUUGGUUCAGUUUUGGUUUGAUGUCGUUUUUCAGCUUUGGUUUAAAACUAAAUACUGAAAAUGGCAUAUGUUGUAAUUUUCAUAUUUUGUAAUGGUAUUUUUGUUACAUUUUGGUGUUUGGCCUUUUGCUAAUUAGACUAAAU